RNAcentral lists this long non-coding RNA (1344 nucleotides) under Numida meleagris (helmeted guineafowl). RNAcentral's name for it is "lncRNA (ENSNMEG00000013702.1)". Lineage: Eukaryota; Metazoa; Chordata; Aves; Galliformes; Numididae. The record is from RNAcentral.
GCGGGGGCCGGCCCUGGCCGCUCCGCCUAUUGGGACUGGGGGGCCUGGGCCAGCCGUCGGCGCGGUGAUAAUGGGGCGCUGCCGUCUGGAGCCCCACGGCCACUGAAACCGCAGUGACACGACAUCGGUGGAAGGGACAGAGCAUUUCCAGGAGCAUCUACGCAGUCCAUGGCACCACGGGACUGGGUUGUAGGCACAGUUGGAAGGCGGCUUGGCAGCUUAAAACCCGGUGCCGUGCACCCGCUGGUCCAGUGCGGGUUUUAUAAAUGACGGAAACACAGCGGUAGUGAGCAAGCAGAAAACGUGAGGUGAUGAAGUGAGCUGCCGCCUUUGGGCGAUUUGUGCGGAGCGCUCCUCCAGCUCAGUGAGCGCGGAUCAAAGAACGCCAGCGUCGAGGUGCUUCCGAGCCCAACUCACCGCUCCCCGAGCAGCAAGGCCCCACAUCGCUUCCCCGAAAGCUCCCGGCGCUUCCCGACCCCCCCGUGGCCCCGAGCCCCCGGCAUCCGAAAGGUGCCCGGUUCCCCUGCACCAUCGCACACCGCAAGCCGAACUCCGCCGAGCUGCCCCGAGCCCUCCGCCCCCGCCGCACGCAGCGCGGAGCCUCCCCGGGCUCACAGAGGAGCCGGGAGGACACCGCGGAGCUCCCGACCCCGCGGCUGCUGAGGGAGCAGAGCGGCGUGCGGGAUCCCGGGCGCAGGAACAACGUAAUCGAGAUCGGAGCCGCUCAUUGUACAUGAAGAUUAAUUCAGCAUUACAAAGAUCUCACAGAUCACUGAGAUCGCUAAGAUCACAAAGCGGUUGUGUUUUUCUCAGUGAAAUUAAAAUACGUUUGGACUGCACCAGGAGCUGUCAUUACGGCUUUCCUGCCCUUCCGUUCAAGGCUGAGCUGCACAGGACCAAGCACAGAGCGGUGCCUGGGGCCGGGCAGAGCUCCCCAAGCCUGCAUUUCCAAGAACACAAAUCCUGUCCGUUUUUAUACUUAAGUACGUGCAAGUAAUUAAAAAAAAAAAAAAAAAAGCUUUAUACAAUGCUGGAUCCACUCCAAAAGAUCAGGCAUCUGAACUGAACUAAACAAUUCGAGGCAGCCCAUUUGUGCUGGUUUUAUGUCAGAGGAGCCACGACAAAUUUGUACUGGUGCAAGGUAUAUCGGGACAAGCUAGAUAGAUGCUAAAGUUAUGGCUUUGUGAAGGACACUCAUGUAACCAUACAACUAAAGCCAAUCCCAACGAUGCCGGGAUGAAAUGGAUUUCCUCUUUGCCACCACUCAGCUCCCAGACUAUGCUUACUAAGGCCAGAAUGAAAGAAUCUAAUAAAAUAUGCUCUAGAAGGUGGACUAUACUACUA